AAGAUGUUCCAUAAUCGAUGAAGAGCAUGAGCAAGCAUACUCCAUGGGAUUUAAAUCUUCAAAUUUCUUUAAAGGUGAAUCUAGCUCAAGUUCUGGGUUGCAUCAGCCACAACAUGAGAAAGAAGUGGAAGAGUUCAAUCCAAGUACAAAUGAUUUCAACCCAAGCACCAAUGAAUAUAGUAGAUUUAGUUCUGAUUUGAAUGAAAUCCUCAAUAUUAAAAUCGGAUCAACAAGGGAUGUGAGAGGAACAACUAUGCUGAGCCCUGCUGACAACGAUGGGGUAAAACUGAAAGGAUGUCACCGCGUAAUUUUAUGAUGAAGAUUAACCAUAACCUAAACUAUUCAAAUUUGUAAUGAGGGGCGAAGCCUAUAUCUUGUACUACUUUCAGUUUUAUGAAUGUAUUGGUUAAUUUGGAUCUCAAGUUCUGACCCUAAUCCAUCUUAUUUAGCUC
This is a long non-coding RNA of Mangifera indica (mango), 452 nucleotides long. RefSeq lists it as uncharacterized. The record is from RefSeq and is a predicted model, not a curated record. Lineage: Eukaryota; Viridiplantae; Streptophyta; Magnoliopsida; Sapindales; Anacardiaceae. The transcript is spliced from 2 exons.